RNAcentral lists this ribosomal RNA (623 nucleotides) under Lactococcus lactis. Its description in RNAcentral is "bacterial SSU rRNA". It matches the Rfam family "Bacterial small subunit ribosomal RNA", at positions 75 to 684 of the family's 1533-position model. Lineage: Bacteria; Bacillati; Bacillota; Bacilli; Lactobacillales; Streptococcaceae. The record is from RNAcentral.
GGUACUUGUACCGACUGGAUGAGCAGCGAACGGGUGAGUAACGCGUGGGGAAUCUGCCUUUGAGCGGGGGACAACAUUUGGAAACGAAUGCUAAUACCGCAUAAAAACUUUAAACACAAGUUUUAAGUUUGAAAGAUGCAAUUGCAUCACUCAAAGAUGAUCCCGCGUUGUAUUAGCUAGUUGGUGAGGUAAAGGCUCACCAAGGCGAUGAUACAUAGCCGACCUGAGAGGGUGAUCGGCCACAUUGGGACUGAGACACGGCCCAAACUCCUACGGGAGGCAGCAGUAGGGAAUCUUCGGCAAUGGACGAAAGUCUGACCGAGCAACGCCGCGUGAGUGAAGAAGGUUUUCGGAUCGUAAAACUCUGUUGGUAGAGAAGAACGUUGGUGAGAGUGGAAAGCUCAUCAAGUGACGGUAACUACCCAGAAAGGGACGGCUAACUACGUGCCAGCAGCCGCGGUAAUACGUAGGUCCCGAGCGUUGUCCGGAUUUAUUGGGCGUAAAGCGAGCGCAGGUGGUUUAUUAAGUCUGGUGUAAAAGGCAGUGGCUCAACCAUUGUAUGCAUUGGAAACUGGUAGACUUGAGUGCAGGAGAGGAGAGUGGAAUUCCAUGGGUAGCGGGGG